Molecule: ribosomal RNA, 451 nt
Filed under: uncultured bacterium
Lineage: Bacteria
Description: partial 16S ribosomal RNA
Rfam family: Bacterial small subunit ribosomal RNA
Source: RNAcentral
GUGGGGAAUAUUGGACAAUGGGGGGAACCCUGAUCCAGCCAUGCCGCGUGUGUGAAGAAGGCCUUUUGGUUGUAAAGCACUUUAAGCGAGGAGGAGGCUACCGAGAUUAAUACUCUUGGAUAGUGGACGUUACUCGCAGAAUAAGCACCGGCUAACUCUGUGCCAGCAGCCGCGGUAAUACAGAGGGUGCAAGCGUUAAUCGGAUUUACUGGUCGUAAAGCGCGCGUAGGUGGCCAAUUAAGUCAAAUGUGAAAUCCCCGAGCUUAACUUGGGAAUUGCAUUCGAUACUGGUUGGCUAGAGUAUGGGAGAGGAUGGUAGAAUUCCAGGUGUAGCGGUGAAAUGCGUAGAGAUCUGGAGGAAUACCGAUGGCGAAGGCAGCCAUCUGGCCUAAUACUGACACUGAGGUGCGAAAGCAUGGGGAGCAAACAGGAUUAGAUACCCUUGUAGUCC